This is a small nucleolar RNA of Nycticebus coucang (slow loris), 104 nucleotides long. RefSeq annotates it as small nucleolar RNA U13. NCBI's taxonomy places the organism in Eukaryota, Metazoa, Chordata, Mammalia, Primates, Lorisidae. The record is from RefSeq and is a predicted model, not a curated record. The transcript has a single exon.
AAGGUUCUGUGGUUCAUAAAUAUGAUUACUGGAUUUUCAUGCUAAUGUAUAAGCUGGGUCUCCCCCCAAGUGUGUUAGGAUGUUGGCACAUUACCUGUCUGAUG